This is a long non-coding RNA of Cryptomeria japonica (Japanese cedar), 360 nucleotides long. RefSeq lists it as uncharacterized. The record is from RefSeq and is a predicted model, not a curated record. The transcript has 3 exons. Lineage: Eukaryota; Viridiplantae; Streptophyta; Pinopsida; Cupressales; Cupressaceae.
AUAGGUAAUAGUGACAACUGAUCCAUCAAUGGUGAGCCCUUCUCAGUCUAUUGGAGAAGCAUCUCAGGCUCUGCCCCCUUCGCGGUUCGACCAUAGCUUGGAGCCUUUGAAGAAGGUAUUCAAGAGAACUCCUAAGGCUGACAAGGAGACGACAUAGAAGAUAGUAGAUCCUAGAUUAGUAGAUGAGCCAUCAACAAAGCCACGUAUUGCAUCGUAGAGGCUCAAUUUUGAUGAUCCACCACAAAUAUAGGAUCAUAUAGUGUUAGUUGUGGUCACUGAAUGACCAAUACAUGUAGGUAUAUUCUAAAUUUUUAUUGUAUAUCGAUUUGGACAUGGCAUAUGCCAUAUUUUUGUAAUACU